This 468-nucleotide ribosomal RNA is filed under the name uncultured bacterium. Its description in RNAcentral is "partial 16S ribosomal RNA". It matches the Rfam family "Bacterial small subunit ribosomal RNA", at positions 28 to 507 of the family's 1533-position model. The record is from RNAcentral.
GACGAACGCUGGCGGCGUGCUUAACACAUGCAAGUCGAACAGAAAGGCCCUGCUUUUGUGGGGUGCUCGAGUGGCGAACGGGUGAGUAACACGUGAGUAACCUGCCCUUGACUUUGGGAUAACUUCAGGAAACUGGGGCUAAUACCGGAUAGGAGCUCCUGCUGCAUGGUGGGGGUUGGAAAGUUUCGGCGGUUGGGGAUGGACUGGCGGCUUAUCAGCUUGUUGGUGGGGUAGUGGCUUACCAAGGCUUUGACGGGUAGCCGGCCUGAGAGGGUGACCGGCCACAUUGGGACUGAGAUACGGCCCAGACUCCUACGGGAGGCAGCAGUGGGGAAUAUUGCACAAUGGGCGGAAGCCUGAUGCAGCAACGCCGCGUGCGGGAUGACGGCCUUCGGGUUGUAAACCGCUUUCGCCUGUGACGAAGCGUGAGUGACGGUAAUGGGUAAAGAAGCACCGGCUAACUACGUG